Molecule: long non-coding RNA, 1343 nt
Organism: Gigantopelta aegis
Lineage: Eukaryota; Metazoa; Mollusca; Gastropoda; Neomphalida; Peltospiridae
Exons: 2
Source: RefSeq, a predicted model, not a curated record
UCGUGCUCGCAAUGAGCGUGCUUGAACAUUAAAUUGAUAUAAGCACGUUAAUUCCGACAUCUGACCUGACAGUCAUUUGUGGGCAUACAUACAUACAUACCGAACUCCCGUCAUUCGUACAAAAUAGUUGUGAUCGUCAUGACAAAUCGUGAGCUACUUCACCAUGAGUGUAAAAUGUAUUCAGUGCCAAAAAAACUGAGAAAAGCCAGCAUGCACUCGAGUGUGACAACUGCAACGGGUGGACACACAGAGUCUCCGGAACUAGUGUUUCAAAAACUGAAUACUAGUAUCUGAAAUUGUGUUCCACGGGCGAGAGUUUUGAUUUUCUCUGUUCUCUUUGUACACAUACAGAACGACCUGAAUCGGUUUUAGAAGUCAGUGUAGACAUUAAUAAUGCCAACUUUUCUGUGAAUUUGGAAUCGUCUCUUAAUGCUGAAAUUCAUCGCCUACAUGAAGAAAACAAUGAAGACAUCAUCGAUCUACAAUCUUAUGGAUCUGUUGAUUCUGUUGAAGUUAUCAGCGAUAGGUAUGUUUUUAUAUAUGAAUAUAUUAAUAAUCUCAUCGAUAUCUGUAUUUUUGACCCGUUUGAUAUAUCCAAAUAACGGAAUAGUGACAAAUCGUUGUAAAGCAACCCCCUCCAACAAAAACAACCCAACAUAACAAACAGUUUAACUUGUUUUAAAUGUAAAUACAUUUUUAAUUAAUAAUGAGAAAACUUGAGGAAUCUAUUUACUGACGAAUCAUUCCUAAUCUCAGUAGAUAAAACACAUCUAACAAUUUCAUGUUUUAGGUCUAUAGAGGAAGAAAUCGUUGAAGACAACGAGCCAGACUCCAACCCACAUGACCCAGAUGACUUGCCUGUUUAUUCAUUUAACAAUGAAAAUGAAGAAAACUAUGCAGACAUAUCCGAUCUAGAACGUCCUGGAUCGGUGGAUUCAGUAGAAGACAUUCGAGAAAGGUUGGCACCACAGAAUAAAUAUCAAAGCUGGCGAGCAGCAGCUCGGUAUUUACAAGUUGAUAGCCUGCCUGUAUCAAGAAGCAACACUACUGCCAGUCCAGUCCCAAGUUGAUGCAGGAGAGGAAGACUGGACGUCGUUUGCGGACAUCUGUGUGCAGAAGCCAGCAGGAGCUCUUCCCACAACUGGACACAAUAUAAAGAUGGUGAUAUGAGUCCUGCUGAGCUUCUGAACGCUUGCGCCCAAUUAAAUGGACCUACGCGUUCUGAAGGGUCCAGCCAGCAGUGAAAUUUAAAUUCAGUGACUUUAUUUCUUUAUAAUGAGCUCUUGUGUGUGUGUAUUAUAUUUUGAUUAUCGUAUGCAGAUAAUAUAGUGUUAUUGAGCUUA